UGGGCUGUGGCUCAGUGGUAGAACCUCUGCCCAGCAUGCAGAAGGUCCCAGGUUCAAUUCCUGGUACGUCCAG
This 73-nucleotide transfer RNA is filed under the name Sphaerodactylus townsendi. RNAcentral describes it as "tRNA-Ala". It matches the Rfam family "tRNA". Rfam says of the family: Transfer RNA (tRNA) molecules are approximately 80 nucleotides in length. Their secondary structure includes four short double-helical elements and three loops (D, anti-codon, and T loops). The record is from RNAcentral. Lineage: Eukaryota; Metazoa; Chordata; Lepidosauria; Squamata; Sphaerodactylidae.